RNAcentral lists this ribosomal RNA (247 nucleotides) under uncultured bacterium. RNAcentral describes it as "partial 16S ribosomal RNA". It matches the Rfam family "Bacterial small subunit ribosomal RNA", at positions 530 to 776 of the family's 1533-position model. The record is from RNAcentral.
GGUCCCAAGCGUUGUUCGGAUUCACUGGGCGUAAAGGGUGCGUAGGUGGCCAGGUAAGUUUGGUGUGAAAGCUCGGAGCUUAACUCCGAAAAGUCAUUGAAUACUAUCUGGCUGGAGGGUCGGAGGGGAGACUGGAAUUCUCGGUGUAGCAGUGAAAUGCGUAGAUAUCGAGAGGAACACCAGUGGCGAAGGCGAGUCUCUGGACGACUCCUGACACUGAGACACGAAGGCCAGGGGAGCAAACGGG